UAGCUCAGCUGGUUAGAGCAUGGCGCUGAUAACACCAGCGUCACGGGUUCGAUACCCGU
This 59-nucleotide transfer RNA is filed under the name Apaloderma vittatum (bar-tailed trogon). It matches the Rfam family "tRNA", at positions 8 to 63 of the family's 71-position model. From Rfam's summary of the family: Transfer RNA (tRNA) molecules are approximately 80 nucleotides in length. The record is from Rfam by way of RNAcentral. Lineage: Eukaryota; Metazoa; Chordata; Aves; Trogoniformes; Trogonidae.